Long non-coding RNA from Cyprinus carpio carpio, 625 nucleotides. The record is from Ensembl. Lineage: Eukaryota; Metazoa; Chordata; Actinopteri; Cypriniformes; Cyprinidae.
GGGGAAGAAAAGAGGGAGGAGUGAAAGUAAAGGGAUGGAAAAGAGGGGGGAGUGAAAGUAAAGGGGAAGAAAAAGAGGGAGGAGUGAAAGUAAAGGGAUGGAAAAGAGGGAGGAGUGAAAGUAAAGGGGAAGAAAAGAGGGAGGAGUGAAAGUAAAGGGAUGGAAAAGAGGGAGGAGUGAAAGUAAAGGGGAAGAAAAAAAGGGAGGAGUGUAAGUAAAGGGAUGGAAAAGAGGGGGGGAUGAAAGUAAAGGGAUGGAAAAGAGGGAGGAGUGAAAUAAAGGGGAAGAAAAGAGGGAGGAGUGAAAGUAAAGGGAUGGAAAAGAGGGAGGAGUGAAAGUAAAGGGAUGGAAAAGAGGGAGGAGUGAAAGUAAAGGGGAAGAAAAGAGGGAGGAGUGAAAGUAAAGGGAUGCAAAAGAGGGAGGAUUGAAGAAAAGAGGGGAACAUGUGAGAAUUGAUGUAUAGAGGUAUUGGGAAGGAUUGUUGGGCAUCAUUUCCAAGUUCCUUGAGUUCUACAGUUCUACGUACUCACUCUGGUGUUCAUUGUACUGAUCUGAAAAGGAACACAACUAGAAACACAAGUUGAAACACAACUAGAAGGCUACUAUAGUUCAACUCAAAAAUGCC